UAGGUUAACGAGGCGAACCGGGGGAACUGAAACAUCUAAGUACCCCGAGGAAAAGAAAUCAACCGAGAUUCCCCCAGUAGCGGCGAGCGAACGGGGAGCAGCCCAGAGUCUGAAUCAGCUUGUGUGUUAGUGGAACGGUCUGGAAAGUCCGACGGUACAGGGUGAUAGUCCCGUACACCAAAAUGCACAGGCUGUGAACUCGAAGAGUAGGGCGGGACACGUGGUAUCCUGUCUGAAUAUGGGGGGACCAUCCUCCAAGGCUAAAUACUCCUGACUGACCGAUAGUGAACCAGUACCGUGAGGGAAAGGCGAAAAGAACCCCGGCGAGGGGAGUGAAAAAGAACCUGAAACCGUGUACGUACAAGCAGUGGGAGCACCUUCGGGUGUGACUGCGUACCUUUUGUAUAAUGGGUCAGCGACUUAUAUUCUGUAGCAAGGUUAACCGUAUAGGGGAGCCGCAGGGAAACCGAGUCUUAACUGGGCGUUAAGUUGCAGGGUAUAGACCCGAAACCCGGUGAUCUAGCCAUGGGCAGGUUGAAGGUUGGGUAACACUAACUGGAGGACCGAACCGACUAAUGUUGAAAAAUUAGCGGAUGACUUGUGGCUGGGGGUGAAAGGCCAAUCAAACCGGGAGAUAGCUGGUUCUCCCCGAAAGCUAUUUAGGUAGCGCCUCGUGAACUCAUCUUCGGGGGUAGAGCACUGUUUCGGCUAGGGGGUCAUCCCGACUUACCAACCCGAUGCAAACUACGAAUACCGAAGAAUGUUAUCACGGGAGACACACGGCGGGUGCUAACGUCCGUCGUGAAGAGGGAAACAACCCAGACCGCCAGCUAAGGUCCCAAAGUCAUGGUUAAGUGGGAAACGAUGUGGGAAGGCACAGACAGCCAGGAUGUUGGCUUAGAAGCAGCCAUCAUUUAAAGAAAGCGUAAUAGCUCACUGGUCGAGUCGGCCUGCGCGGAAGAUGUAACGGGGCUAAACCAUGCACCGAAGCUGCGGCAGCGACACUAUGUGUUGUUGGGUAGGGGAGCGUUCUGUAAGCCUGCGAAGGUGUGCUGUGAGGCAUGCUGGAGGUAUCAGAAGUGCGAAUGCUGACAUAAGUAACGAUAAAGCGGGUGAAAAGCCCGCUCGCCGGAAGACCAAGGGUUCCUGUCCAACGUUAAUCGGGGCAGGGUGAGUCGACCCCUAAGGCGAGGCCGAAAGGCGUAGUCGAUGGGAAACAGGUUAAUAUUCCUGUACUUGGUGUUACUGCGAAGGGGGGACGGAGAAGGCUAUGUUAGCCGGGCGACGGUUGUCCCGGUUUAAGCAUGUAGGCUGGUUAUCCAGGCAAAUCCGGAUAAUCAAGGCUGAGGUGUGAUGACGAGGCACUACGGUGCUGAAGUAACAAAUGCCCUGCUUCCAGGAAAAGCCUCUAAGCAUCAGGUAACAUCAAAUCGUACCCCAAACCGACACAGGUGGUCAGGUAGAGAAUACCAAGGCGCUUGAGAGAACUCGGGUGAAGGAACUAGGCAAAAUGGUGCCGUAACUUCGGGAGAAGGCACGCUGGUGUGUAGGUGAAGCCCCUGCGGGUGGAGCUGAGACCAGUCGAAGAUACCAGCUGGCUGCAACUGUUUAUUAAAAACACAGCACUGUGCAAACACGAAAGUGGACGUAUACGGUGUGACGCCUGCCCGGUGCCGGAAGGUUAAUUGAUGGGGUUAUCCGUAAGGAGAAGCUCUUGAUCGAAGCCCCGGUAAACGGCGGCCGUAACUAUAACGGUCCUAAGGUAGCGAAAUUCCUUGUCGGGUAAGUUCCGACCUGCACGAAUGGCGUAAUGAUGGCCAGGCUGUCUCCACCCGAGACUCAGUGAAAUUGAACUCGCUGUGAAGAUGCAGUGUACCCGCGGCAAGACGGAAAGACCCCGUGAACCUUUACUAUAGCUUGACACUGAACAUUGAGCCUUGAUGUGUAGGAUAGGUGGGAGGCUUUGAAGCGUGGACGCCAGUCUGCGUGGAGCCAACCUUGAAAUACCACCCUUUAAUGUUUGAUGUUCUAACGUUGGCCCCUUAUCGGGGUUGCGGACAGUGUCUGGUGGGUAGUUUGACUGGGGCGGUCUCCUCCCAAAGCGUAACGGAGGAGCACGAAGGUUAGCUAAUCCUGGUCGGACAUCAGGAGGUUAGUGCAAUGGCAUAAGCUAGCUUGACUGCGAGCGUGACGGCGCGAGCAGGUGCGAAAGCAGGUCAUAGUGAUCCGGUGGUUCUGAAUGGAAGGGCCAUCGCUCAACGGAUAAAAGGUACUCCGGGGAUAACAGGCUGAUACCGCCCAAGAGUUCAUAUCGACGGCGGUGUUUGGCACCUCGAUGUCGGCUCAUCACAUCCUGGGGCUGAAGUAGGUCCCAAGGGUAUGGCUGUUCGCCAUUUAAAGUGGUACGCGAGCUGGGUUUAGAACGUCGUGAGACAGUUCGGUCCCUAUCUGCCGUGGGCGCUGGAGAAUUGAGGGGGGCUGCUCCUAGUACGAGAGGACCGGAGUGGACGCAUCACUGGUGUUCGGGUUGUCAUGCCAAUGGCACUGCCCGGUAGCUAAAUGCGGAAGAGAUAAGUGCUGAAAGCAUCUAAGCACGAAACUUGCCCCGAGAUGAGUUCUCCCUGAGACUUUAAGUCUCCUGAAGGAACGUUGAAGACGACGACGUUGAUAGGCCGGGUGUGUAAGCGCAGCGAUGCGUUGAGCUAACCGGUACUAAUGAACCGUGAGGCUUAACCUU
This 2737-nucleotide ribosomal RNA is filed under the name Klebsiella pneumoniae. RNAcentral's name for it is "bacterial LSU rRNA". It matches the Rfam family "Bacterial large subunit ribosomal RNA". Lineage: Bacteria; Pseudomonadati; Pseudomonadota; Gammaproteobacteria; Enterobacterales; Enterobacteriaceae. The record is from RNAcentral.